AUUGAACGCUGGCGGCAGGACUAACACAUGCAAGUCGAACGAGUGGCGGACGGGUGAGUAAUGUCUGGGAAACUGCCUGAUGGAGGGGGAUAACUACUGGAAACGGUAGCUAAUACCGCAUACCAUCAGAUGUGCCCAAAUGGGAUUAGCUAGUGGGUGGGGUAACGGCUCACCAAGGCGACGAUCCCUAGCUGGUCUGAGAAGAUGACCAGCCACACUGGAACUGAGACACGGUCCAGACUCCUACGGGAGGCAGCAGUGGGGAACAUUGGACAAGGGGCGAAAGCCUGAUGCAGCCAUCCCGCGUGUAUGAUGAAGGCCUUCGGGUUGUAAAGUACUUUCAGCGGGGAGGCGGUACCCGCAGAAUAAGCACCGGCUAACUCCGUGCCAGCAGCCGCGGUAAUAC
This 406-nucleotide ribosomal RNA is filed under the name uncultured bacterium. Its description in RNAcentral is "partial 16S ribosomal RNA". It matches the Rfam family "Bacterial small subunit ribosomal RNA", at positions 30 to 526 of the family's 1533-position model. The record is from RNAcentral.